CCUACGGGGGGCUGCAGUGGGGAAUAUUGCACAAUGGGCGCAAGCCUGAUGCAGCCAUGCCGCGUGUGUGAAGAAGGCCUUCGGGUUGUAAAGCACUUUCAGCGGGGAGGAAGGCGGUGAGGUUAAUAACCUCAUCGAUUGACGUUACCCGCAGAAGAAGCACCGGCUAACUCCGUGCCAGCAGCCGCGGUAAUACGGAGGGUGCAAGCGUUAAUCGGAAUUACUGGGCGUAAAGCGCACGCAGGCGGUCUGUCAAGUCGGAUGUGAAAUCCCCGGGCUCAACCUGGGAAUUGCAUUCGAAACUGGCAGGCUAGAGUCUUGUAGAGGGGGGUAGAAUUCCAGGUGUAGCGGUGAAAUGCGUAGAGAUCUGGAGGAAUACCGGUGGCGAAGGCGGCCCCCUGGACAAAGACUGACGCUCAGGUGCGAAAGCGUGGGGGGCAAACAGGAUUAGAUACCCCUGUAGUC
RNAcentral lists this ribosomal RNA (465 nucleotides) under uncultured Klebsiella sp. RNAcentral describes it as "bacterial SSU rRNA". It matches the Rfam family "Bacterial small subunit ribosomal RNA", at positions 338 to 795 of the family's 1533-position model. The record is from RNAcentral. Lineage: Bacteria; Pseudomonadati; Pseudomonadota; Gammaproteobacteria; Enterobacterales; Enterobacteriaceae.